Long non-coding RNA from Chelonia mydas (Green sea turtle), 992 nucleotides. RefSeq lists it as uncharacterized. The transcript has 2 exons. The record is from RefSeq and is a predicted model, not a curated record. NCBI's taxonomy places the organism in Eukaryota, Metazoa, Chordata, Testudines, Cheloniidae.
GGAGAGCGCGAACGCAGUCCCCCACUACCACAAAUUAUGCAGUCGAGUUUCCCGCAUUUGGGGAAAUCGCAGGGGUCAGCACACCCGCAGUGCAAUGGAUGAGCCUCACCCUGGGAAAACCACCUUCGUGAUCAUGGUGUCUCCCCUGCCAGGUAAGUAUGAGUUGCUAGUUCCCAGCCGCCGCCCGCCCUCUCUCACCCCACACUCUAAAGCCACGGUGGGUCCCGCUGCGCCGCACCCGCCAGCCGCGCCCACACCAGCCCCCACUGCCGAGAGCUGCCCCGACGUGGCCCCGGGGCCCCACCCUUCUCCACACCAACCCCCAGGUGCCAAAUUCGGGCCCUACUGGGCAGCGUGCUCCGGCUCCCACAAUGCUCUGCUCACACAUAUCUGCAUACGUGCUCACGCGGCUCCGCCCCUCCGAUCGGGCCCCUCCCCCGCCUGCUCUUCAGCGCUGAGCCCCACGGCCGGCCCCUCCCCCACCAGGUGGCCUCGCCGAAGGGCCGCCCGGGCCCUGCUCCCCCCGGCGGGCGGGGUGGGGGGCAGAGCUGCCCCCGAGCUCAGUAAUGCGCCAGCGUCCGGCUGCGCUGGAGCCGUAGCCGGCCCGGCCCGGGGUCCAGGCUCCCGGAGAGACCCAGGAACAGCCGGGAUCGCGGCCCCGCCUCUGCGGGGGGAGACGCUGCGUUUCGCUUCCCCCCCCAGGCAGUUACUGAUCCGUGAGGGGGCUGGAGCCAUCUGGAGUAGCUUGUGACUGUGAGUGCCAACCUCAGGCAAACUGUUAAGAAGCAGAGCACAAUCUCCAAAUUGGUUGUGUGUUCUAUGUUUAGAUUUCACCAAGUAUCAGAUUAUGUAUUAUGUGCCUUUUAAAACUUUUUAAACCAAACUUGCUAUUUUUGGGUAAUUUAAGCAUUAUAUGCAGAGGACUAGAAAUGUUUUUAUUAACCUGUAUUUAGAUAAUUUUAACAUUAGCUUGAAUAAAAAUUUUAAAUCUG